UAUAGUACAUGUACGGCGUCAAACGCAGCUGUCCGACCCCCCAAUCUCUUCCGUUUCAUUUCUAUUGCAACCCAUCUCGAGUCUCUUCCUGUUUGACCUUCUCUUCUACGCAGAAAUCUGUUGCUUCUCGUUCAUAAACUGGCGAAUAUCUGGAGGUUCUCUACUCUUUGUUCUUCUCUGGACAGAUUUUUCCUCAGGCAUAGCUGAGUGCCCCUCUGAGUUGAGUAGAGUUUGGCAUACCUUUUCAGUUCAGUUUCUGCAUCUGAACCUUCUCUGCUUCACGUACGUAGUCCCAUGAAUCUGUUGCUUCUCGCGCAUAAUCUGGUGGAUAUCUAAGGUAAAUCUUGGUUAUGGAUCCAAGCUUUUCUGGAUAUCCUGAUUUCACAAACGAAACCCCAGUCAAUGACCAAACCGUCUCACCCCAUUCUAAUUACAACCCAAAUCUUGUAAACAUGGUCGACUUCAAUGUACCCUCCCCAGACUUUGGUUUCCUCGAAAACCCAUUUAUUCCACCUGAUCUGGGCCAGGCGGCAGAGCCAUAUGCUCCGUCCCCUGCUGCUGAUAGCUUGAGCCCGCAGUCGUCGGAGGACAGUGAGUACUCGGAAACAGUUCUCAAGUAUAUGAACCAGAUUCUUAUGGAAGAGAACAUAGAGGACAAGCCCUCCUUGUUCUUCGACCCUUUGGGUCUCGAAGUCACCGAGAAAUCGUUCUAUGAUGCUCUCGGUCAGAGAUACCCUCCUUCUCCCAGUCAAUACCAACCGCCGCCUUUUAUCAAUCGCAACGUCGAGAGUCCCGAUGAUGUUUUUUCUGGAAGCAGUGGUGAUUAUGGUACUAAUAGUAGUUCUACUACCGCUAGCUCUAGCACUGAUACUCAGUGGCUUGGUGAUCUUGGGGAGUACAAGUCCUCGAUUUCACAGGCUACUCAUCCUGCUGACCAUGUUUUACAGCCGAAUUUGCAGUCUAAUAGUGGGUCACAGUUUUUGGCAAAUCCCUCGAACGGUGUGAAUAAUAAUUUUGGUGAUGGGAUGGAGCUUUUGGCUCAGAACAUUUUUACUGAUAGUGAAUCUAUUUUGCAAUUUAGGAGAGGGUUAGAGGAAGCCAGCAAGUUUCUUCCUAGGGGUAAUCAAUUGGUUAUCGAUUUGGAGAGUAGCAAGGUGUUGUCGGAGUUAAAGGGAGAGGAUCACAAGGUGGGCAAGGGUGUGAGAGAGAAUUCACUAGAUGGGUCAAGGGGAAGGAAGAAUCAUGAGAGGGAAGAUAUAGAUUUAGAAGAAGGGAGGAGUAACAAGCAGUCUGCAGUUUAUGUGGAAGAGAGUGAAUUAUCGGAGAUGUUUGAUAAGGUGUUGCUUUCAACCAAUUCACUGUAUACGCUAUGCAGUAACAAUGAAUCAGGGAAGAAUGAAGCAAGCAGGGCCUCAUGGACAAAUGAACAACCACAAGGAGCUAAUGGUGGGAAGAGCCGUGGGAAGAAACAGGGAAAGGCGACAGAUACUGUUGAUUUGAGAGCUCUUUUGAUUCUAUGUGCACAAUCUGUUUCAGCAGGUGACAAUACAACUGCUAAUGAAUUACUGAAGCAGAUUAGGCAGCACUCUUCCCCUUUUGGUGAUGGUUCUCAGAGAGUGGCCCAUUUCUUUGCAAAUGGCCUUGAGGCACGCUUGGCUGGGACUCAAAUUUUCUAUACUCCUUUAGCUUCCAAGAAGAUUUCAGCUUAUGAAAUAUUGAAAGCUUUCCAAGUUCAUCUUUCAGCUUGCCCUUUCAAGAGGAUCUCACUUUUCUUUGCCAACAAGUCAAUUUAUAAAUUAUCAGAGAAAGCAACAAGUCUUCAUAUCAUAGACUUCGGUAUUGGAUAUGGUUUCCAGUGGCCAAUUCUGAUCCAUAAGCUCUCUAAGAGAUCUGGUGGGCCUCCCAAGCUACGGAUUACAGGGAUAGAAAUUCCCCAACCUGGUUUCCGUCCAACAGAGAGAAUCGAGGAGACUGGUCGUCGCUUAGCAAAGUAUUGUGAGCGGUUUAAUGUGCCUUUUGAGUACCAUGCCAUGGCAUCAUCGAACUGGGAGACUAUCCAAAUUGAGGAUCUCAAGAUUGAUAGGAAUGAGAUGCUUGCUGUGAACUGUUUGUACCGGUUUAAAAACUUACUUGAUGAGACUGUUGAAGAGACCAGUCCACGAAAUGCGGUUCUGAAUUUAAUCAGGAGGAUGAACCCCGAUAUUUUUGUCCAUUCAAUUGUUAAUGGAGCCUAUGAUGCCCCCUUCUUUGUUACAAGGUUCCGAGAAGCACUCUUCUUCUUCUCUGCAUUGUUUGACACAUUUGAUGUUACUAUACCCCGUGAAAACCAAGAGAGGUUAAUGUUUGAGAGAGAGAUCUAUGGAAGGGAGGCUAUGAACGUUAUAGCAUGUGAGGGCUUGAAAAGGGUGGAGAGGCCAGAGACGUACAAGCAGUGGCAACUCCGGACUGUGAGGGCUGGUUUCAGACAGCUUCCUUUGGACCAGGAGCUCAUGAACAUAUUCAAGUCUAAGAUGAAGGAAUGGUACCACAAGGAUUUUGUAUUUGAUGAAGACAGCCGCUGGAUGCUUCUUGGUUGGAAGGGCCGGAUUAUCAAUGCUUCCUCUUGUUGGGUUCCAGCUUAGAAAUCUUCCAAAGGAUGCUUGUGAAAUCUCGAUUUAGUGCUGGGCUGGCAAAAAUACUUUAGGAAGGGAGAAGUCUUGCUCACCACGUCCAUUCCCCGAUAAUUACGGCCACUGAUUCUGCCUCUGCCACUACUAGUUUUAUGGUCGCCCCUGCCUCGACCAAUCAUUAAAUCUGCCAAUGCUUGCAUUGGUAUACCUUUCUUGUUUUCUUAGCAUUCAAACAAACAUCUUCUUCCUACAGUUUCCUCCACUGAUUUAGCUUUCCACUUUUGGUUUGCUUCAAAUAUGAGUUGAAAAAAUGUCUUUCUCCUAGUGCUGUAAAAUGUGUUCCCCAAGUCUUCAUGGCUUUCUGGUGGAGGCCAUAUAACAGGAUGAUCGAGGGUACUAUGCUGGAUGUCAAAAUUCCGACUCUCACUAAAGAUAGUCUAGAUUUUGGGAGUUCUGGUUGGACUACAUCAAUUCUAUAUUCCAAGUCUGAUGUAACAAUUCUGGAUUUUUCUCCUCAGUUCAUAAAAUACCCUAAUAAAUAGAUAUUUGCUCUUAUUCUUA
This is an RNA transcript of Juglans regia (Persian walnut), 3170 nucleotides long. It is a transcript of the gene named scarecrow-like protein 34, with no coding region annotated. The transcript is spliced from 3 exons. The record is from RefSeq and is a predicted model, not a curated record. NCBI's taxonomy places the organism in Eukaryota, Viridiplantae, Streptophyta, Magnoliopsida, Fagales, Juglandaceae.